RNAcentral lists this ribosomal RNA (478 nucleotides) under Staphylococcus aureus. RNAcentral's name for it is "partial 23S ribosomal RNA". It matches the Rfam family "Bacterial large subunit ribosomal RNA", at positions 978 to 1461 of the family's 2925-position model. Lineage: Bacteria; Bacillati; Bacillota; Bacilli; Caryophanales; Staphylococcaceae. The record is from RNAcentral.
UGGGAGUCAGAACAUGGGUGAUAAGGUCCGUGUUCGAAAGGGAAACAGCCCAGACCACCAGCUAAGGUCCCAAAAUAUAUGUUAAGUGGAAAAGGAUGUGGCGUUGCCCAGACAACUAGGAUGUUGGCUUAGAAGCAGCCAUCAUUUAAAGAGUGCGUAAUAGCUCACUAGUCGAGUGACACUGCGCCGAAAAUGUACCGGGGCUAAACAUAUUACCGAAGCUGUGGAUUGUCCUUUGGACAAUGGUAGGAGAGCGUUCUAAGGGCGUUGAAGCAUGAUCGUAAGGACAUGUGGAGCGCUUAGAAGUGAGAAUGCCGGUGUGAGUAGCGAAAGACGGGUGAGAAUCCCGUCCACCGAUUGACUAAGGUUUCCAGAGGAAGGCUCGUCCGCUCUGGGUUAGUCGGGUCCUAAGCUGAGGCCGACAGGCGUAGGCGAUGGAUAACAGGUUGAUAUUCCUGUACCACCUAUAAUCGUUUUA